This 24-nucleotide microRNA is filed under the name Haemonchus contortus (barber pole worm). RNAcentral's name for it is "hco-miR-5944". Lineage: Eukaryota; Metazoa; Nematoda; Chromadorea; Rhabditida; Trichostrongylidae. The record is from miRBase by way of RNAcentral.
UGAAAGGUCCUAUGUGUGGGGCAC